Molecule: long non-coding RNA, 837 nt
Organism: Chinchilla lanigera (long-tailed chinchilla)
Lineage: Eukaryota; Metazoa; Chordata; Mammalia; Rodentia; Chinchillidae
Exons: 2
Source: RefSeq, a predicted model, not a curated record
CUCACGCUGGACGUGAGAGCCCACGGGAUCCUUCUGCUUCAGCAUCCCCGGGGCUGGGUUAGGAGGACGCAACAGCACGCCUGGCUGCUCCGGUCUUCUUACUGGAUGCGGUGGGCUCUUCCCCUGCGUCGCUGUUCCAAAGGGGGUCACCAGUCAGCUAAGCCAGUUGCAGUUGAUUCGCCAUGGACAAAUCCCCGUGAGAGAGCGUCACAAGUCCAGGCAAGGCCAGGACACAACAGAAGAGUGAGCGACCCUGCCGUUGUGAGAGGCCAAGAAAACACGUGCCAAGGAGAGUCACAUGACUGAUGAAUAAACGUACUUUCUGGUGUUGAGGCAGAGAAACCUCAGGACUUCAGACUGUAAGCACCUUGUGUUCCCUCCUCAAAAGCUGCAAAUCUGUCUUUCAACACUUCAGUAUUGCUAGAAGGAACUAUUACCUGGAGUCCUGCGACCCCCUUGGUUACCGUCUUGUUUGGCAUGAGACGUGCAUAGGACGUUAGUAAAGCGUCCUGCUGGAGUGUCUGGUUGCAUCGUGGAGGGGUGUCGUUUGGAACCUCAUCUUUUCCCUCCCCCUUCCUCUGCGGCACCUGUUUUGCUCUAUUCUUCCUGGUUCUCAGGUAGCAGUUAUGUUUCUUCAUUUCCUUCCACUGUGCUAUUUCUCUGUUGAGGUCAAGUAACAGCUGAAAUCAAUCUCUGAAUGAGCUAAAAUAAUCUUUUUAAGUCCUGUAUGUCAUGCAUUUUGUAUUUACAACAAAAAAAUCAUGAAAAUUAACAUUGGUUGUCUGAGCAAAAUAAACUGCUGAAUGUGUCAACCCUUGCUCUAUAAGUUUACGUAAA